RNAcentral lists this ribosomal RNA (464 nucleotides) under Burkholderia gladioli. RNAcentral describes it as "bacterial SSU rRNA". It matches the Rfam family "Bacterial small subunit ribosomal RNA", at positions 71 to 530 of the family's 1533-position model. The record is from RNAcentral. Lineage: Bacteria; Pseudomonadati; Pseudomonadota; Betaproteobacteria; Burkholderiales; Burkholderiaceae.
CACGGGUGCUUGCACCUGGUGGCGAGUGGCGAACGGGUGAGUAAUACAUCGGAACAUGUCCUGUAGUGGGGGAUAGCCCGGCGAAAGCCGGAUUAAUACCGCAUACGAUCUACGGAUGAAAGCGGGGGACCUUCGGGCCUCGCGCUAUAGGGUUGGCCGAUGGCUGAUUAGCUAGUUGGUGGGGUAAAGGCCCACCAAGGCGACGAUCAGUAGCUGGUCUGAGAGGACGACCAGCCACACUGGGACUGAGACACGGCCCAGACUCCUACGGGAGGCAGCAGUGGGGAAUUUUGGACAAUGGGCGAAAGCCUGAUCCAGCAAUGCCGCGUGUGUGAAGAAGGCCUUCGGGUUGUAAAGCACUUUUGUCCGGAAAGAAAUCCUGAGGGCUAAUAUCCUUCGGGGAUGACGGUACCGGAAGAAUAAGCACCGGCUAACUACGUGCCAGCAGCCGCGGUAAUACGUAG